GUGGGGAAUUUUGGACAAUGGGGGCAACCCUGAUCCAGCCAUGCCGCGUGCGGGAAGAAGGCCUUCGGGUUGUAAACCGCUUUUGUCAGGGAAGAAAUCCUUUGGGUUAAUACCUCGGAGGGAUGACGGUACCUGAAGAAUAAGCACCGGCUAACUACGUGCCAGCAGCCGCGGUAAUACGUAGGGUGCGAGCGUUAAUCGGAAUUACUGGGCGUAAAGCGUGCGCAGGCGGUUUUGUAAGACCGAUGUGAAAUCCCCGGGCUCAACCUGGGAACUGCAUUGGUGACUGCAAGGCUGGAGUGCGGCAGAGGGGGAUGGAAUUCCGCGUGUAGCAGUGAAAUGCGUAGAUAUGCGGAGGAACACCGAUGGCGAAGGCAAUCCCCUGGGCCUGCACUGACGCUCAUGCACGAAAGCGUGGGGAGCAAACAGGAUUAGAUACCCGGGUAGUCC
This 450-nucleotide ribosomal RNA is filed under the name uncultured bacterium. RNAcentral describes it as "partial 16S ribosomal RNA". It matches the Rfam family "Bacterial small subunit ribosomal RNA", at positions 354 to 796 of the family's 1533-position model. The record is from RNAcentral.